Lucilia cuprina (Australian sheep blowfly) is the source of this 394-nucleotide long non-coding RNA. RefSeq lists it as uncharacterized. The transcript has 3 exons. The record is from RefSeq and is a predicted model, not a curated record. NCBI's taxonomy places the organism in Eukaryota, Metazoa, Arthropoda, Insecta, Diptera, Calliphoridae.
AAUAUAUUAAAACAAUUGUAAAAAAUAAAUAAUUUGUGUUUGUGUUAUAAAAAUUGUGUCCGAAUCGUUUUUUUUUUCUUUGUGCGAAUUUUGGACCUGAAAUUGUGUUGAAUUCACACAGAGCAUGGAAGUAUGAAUGUAUAGUUGGACAUGGAAAACCAUUUGAUACCCUUCAAAAGGAUAGGGUAGAGGAGAAAGGUGGUAAAAGUGACUGAUAGAAGAAAGCUUUAUUUAUUUACAAAGCACCCAAAAAUGUAACCUUGCACCUUUUCUUGCAUUUUUCAAAUAUUUCUUGACACUAUUUAUAUCUUAUUCUACAUAUUUUGUUUUCCCAAAUUUUAAUUGUAUUUUCUGUAAAAAUAUACAAAUUAUGUGAAACAUAAAAAUAAGUUUU